CCCGCUGAACUUAAGCAUAUCAAUAAGCGGAGGAAAAGAAACUAACAAGGAUUCCCCUAGUAACUGCGAGUGAAGCGGGAAAAGCUCAAAUUUAGAAUCUGGCAGUCACUUGGCUGUCCGAGUUGUAAUCUAGAGAAGUGUUGCCCGUGCUGGACCAUGUACAAGUCUCCUGGAAUGGAGCAUCACAGAGGGUGAGAAUCCUGUCUUUGACAUGGACUGCCAGUGCUUUUGUGGUAUGCUCUCAAAGAGUCGAGUUGUUUGGGAAUGCAGCUCAAAAUGGGUGGUAAAUGCCAUCUAAAGCUAAAUAUUGGCGAGAGACCGAUAGCGAACAAGUACCGUGAGGGAAAGAUGAAAAGAACUUUGGAAAGAGAGUUAAACAGUACGUGAAAUUGUUGAAAGGGAAACGCUUGAAGUCAAUCGCGUUGUCCAGAAAUCAACCUUGCUUCUGCCUGGUGUACUUUUUGGUCAACGGGUCAGCAUCAAUUUUGACCGGUGGAUAAAGGUCAGGGGAAUGUGGCAUUUUUAUUGAAUGUGUUAUAGCCCUUGGUUGCAUACAUCGGUUGGGAUUGAGGAACUCAGCAUGCCGCAAGGCCGGGUCUUUUGAUCACGUACAUGCUUAGGAUGCUGGCAUAAUGGUUUUAAUCGACCCGUCUUGAAACACGG
This 663-nucleotide ribosomal RNA is filed under the name uncultured fungus. RNAcentral describes it as "eukaryotic LSU rRNA". It matches the Rfam family "Eukaryotic large subunit ribosomal RNA", at positions 24 to 664 of the family's 3401-position model. Lineage: Eukaryota; Fungi. The record is from RNAcentral.